RNAcentral lists this ribosomal RNA (663 nucleotides) under Arthrobacter sp. Its description in RNAcentral is "bacterial SSU rRNA". It matches the Rfam family "Bacterial small subunit ribosomal RNA", at positions 72 to 749 of the family's 1533-position model. The record is from RNAcentral. Lineage: Bacteria; Bacillati; Actinomycetota; Actinomycetes; Micrococcales; Micrococcaceae.
UCCGGUGCUUGCACCGGGGAUUAGUGGCGAACGGGUGAGUAACACGUGAGUAACCUGCCCUUGACUCUGGGAUAAGCCUGGGAAACCGGGUCUAAUACCGGAUACGACCUGUCACCGCAUGGUGGUGGGUGGAAAGAUUUUUUGGUUUUGGAUGGACUCGCGGCCUAUCAGCUUGUUGGUGAGGUAAUGGCUCACCAAGGCGACGACGGGUAGCCGGCCUGAGAGGGUGACCGGCCACACUGGGACUGAGACACGGCCCAGACUCCUACGGGAGGCAGCAGUGGGGAAUAUUGCACAAUGGGCGAAAGCCUGAUGCAGCGACGCCGCGUGAGGGAUGACGGCCUUCGGGUUGUAAACCUCUUUCAGCAGGGAAGAAGCGAAAGUGACGGUACCUGCAGAAGAAGCGCCGGCUAACUACGUGCCAGCAGCCGCGGUAAUACGUAGGGCGCAAGCGUUGUCCGGAAUUAUUGGGCGUAAAGAGCUCGUAGGCGGUUUGUCGCGUCUGCUGUGAAAGCCCGGGGCUCAACCCCGGGUCUGCAGUGGGUACGGGCAGACUAGAGUGCAGUAGGGGAGACUGGAAUUCCUGGUGUAGCGGUGAAAUGCGCAGAUAUCACGAGGAACACCGAUGGCGAAGGCAGGUCUCUGGGCUGUAACUGACGCUGA